Molecule: ribosomal RNA, 127 nt
Filed under: Chinchilla lanigera (long-tailed chinchilla)
Lineage: Eukaryota; Metazoa; Chordata; Mammalia; Rodentia; Chinchillidae
Source: RNAcentral
GUCUAUGGCUAUACCUCCCUGAAUGCGCCCGAUCUCAUCUGAUCUCAGAAGCUAAGCAGGGUCUGGCCUGGUUAGUACUUGGAUGGGAAAAGUCUACAGAAAGGAGGAGAAACCUGAUAGUCUGUCC